Molecule: unclassified non-coding RNA, 206 nt
Filed under: Hevea brasiliensis (rubber tree)
Lineage: Eukaryota; Viridiplantae; Streptophyta; Magnoliopsida; Malpighiales; Euphorbiaceae
Source: RNAcentral
AAAUAUGUUGACAACACAGUAAGUGUUCUUCUCAAAGAGCUCAACAACUCUUUCCUCCGAAGGGAGAAGUGCUGCAGAAGGAAAAAUAGUAGGUGUAACUUGUUCAACUGUGACAGACAGAUCCCCCAAAGCAAGUGCUUGAAGGAUGAUAACAUGAAUACAUGAAAAAGCUUGUUAACAACAUCCUCCGUGUGGCAAAAGGGAAG